UAGAUGCAAAUACAGCAGAUCACUCAAGGGAUGCUGAAACAUUAUUUGGUAUUCAAACAACUCUGGAAAAGUAUGAACAUCCAAUUUUGAAAAUGAACUAACGUAUACUGAUUAUAAAGAAUUUAUGCAAUAUGCAAAUACAGCAGAUCACUCAAGGGAUGCUGAAACAUUAUUUGGUAUUCAAACAAUUCUGGAAAAGUAUGAACAUCCAAUUUUGAAAAUGAACUAACGAAUACUGAUUAUAAUGAAUUUAUGCAAUUUACAUAUUGCAAUACAGCAGACAAUGAAAGCCAUGGUGAGACAUGAAUUCGCGAUUCUAUCAGUUUGGAAAAUAUAAACAUCCUAUGAUGAAAAUGGACUAGAAGAUACUGAUAAUAAUAAUUGUUUUAUUCAACAUGCAAAUACAGCAGAUCACUCAAGGGAUGCUGAAACAUUAUUUGGUAUUCAAACAAUUCUGGAAAAGUAUGAACAUCCAAUUUUGAAAAUGAACUAACGAAUACUGAUUAUAAUGAAUUUAUGCAAUUUACAUAUUGCAAUACAGCAGACAAUGAAAGCCAUGGUGAGACAUGAAUUCGCGAUUCUUUCAGUUUGGAAAAUAUAAACAUCCUAUGAUGAAAAUGGACUAGAAGAUACUGAUAAUAAUAAUUGUUUUAUUCAACAUGCAAAUACAGCAGAUCACUCAAGGGAUGCUGAAACAUUGUUUGGUAUUCAAUCAACUCUGGAAAAGUAUGAACAUCCAAUUUUGAAAAUGAACUAAAAGAUACUGAUAAUAAAGAAUUUAUGCAAUAUGCAAAUACAGCAGAUCACUCAAGGGAUGCUGAAACAUUAUUUGGUAUUCAAACAAUUCUGGAAAAGUAUGAACAUCCAAUUUUGAAAAUGAACUAACGAAUACUGAUUAUAAUGAAUUUAUGCAAUUUACAUAUUGCAUUACAGCAGACAAUGAAAGUCAUGGUGAGACAUGAAUUUGCGAUUCUAUCAGUUUGGAAAAUAUAAACAUCCUAUGAUGAAAAUGGACUAGAAGAUACUGAUAAUAAUAAUUGUUUUAUUCAACAUGGCAAUACAGCAGAUGACUCAAGGAAUGCUGAGACAUUUAUUUGUAUGCAUACAACUUUGGGAAAGUAUGAACAUCCAAUGUUGAAAAUGAACUAAAUGAUACUGAUUAUAAAGAAUUUUUGCAAUAUGCAAAUACAGCAGAUCACUCAAGGGAUGCUGAAACAUUAUUUGGUAUUCAAACAACUCUGGAAAAGUAUGAACAUCCAAUUUUGAAAAUGAACUAACGAAUACUGAUUAUAAAGAAUUUAUGCAAUGUACGUGUAAUGGUUAUUAGAUGCAAAUACAGCAGAUCACUCAAGGGAUGCUGAAACAUUAUUUGGUAUUCAAACAAUUCUGGAAAAGUAUGAACAUCCAAUUUUGAAAAUGAACUAACGAAUACUGAUUAUAAUGAAUUUAUGCAAUUUACAUAUUGCAAUACAGCAGACAAUGAAAGCCAUGGUGAGACAUGAAUUCGCGAUUCUAUCAGUUUGGAAAAUAUAAACAUCCUAUGAUGAAAAUGGACUAGAAGAUACUGAUAAUAAUAAUUGUUUUAUUCAACAUGCAAAUACAGCAGAUCACUCAAGGGAUGCUGAAACAUUAUUUGGUAUUCAAACAAUUCUGGAAAAGUAUGAACAUCCAAUUUUGAAAAUGAACUAACGAAUACUGAUUAUAAUGAAUUUAUGCAAUUUACAUAUUGCAAUACAGCAGACAAUGAAAGCCAUGGUGAGACAUGAAUUCGCGAUUCUUUCAGUUUGGAAAAUAUAAACAUCCUAUGAUGAAAAUGGACUAGAAGAUACUGAUAAUAAUAAUUGUUUUAUUCAACAUGCAAAUACAGCAGAUCACUCAAGGGAUGCUGAAACAUUGUUUGGUAUUCAAUCAACUCUGGAAAAGUAUGAACAUCCAAUUUUGAAAAUGAACUAAAAGAUACUGAUAAUAAAGAAUUUAUGCAAUAUGCAAAUACAGCAGAUCACUCAAGGGAUGCUGAAACAUUAUUUGGUAUUCAAACAAUUCUGGAAAAGUAUGAACAUCCAAUUUUGAAAAUGAACUAACGAAUACUGAUUAUAAUGAAUUUAUGCAAUUUACAUAUUGCAAUACAGCAGACAAUGAAAGCCAUGGUGAGACAUGAAUUCGCGAUUCUUUCAGUUUGGAAAAUAUAAACAUCCUAUGAUGAAAAUGGACUAGAAGAUACUGAUAAUAAUAAUUGUUUUAUUCAACAUGCAAAUACAGCAGAUCACUCAAGGGAUGCUGAAACAUUGUUUGGUAUUCAAUCAACUCUGGAAAAGUAUGAACAUCCAAUUUUGAAAAUGAACUAAAAGAUACUGAUAAUAAAGAAUUUAUGCAAUAUGCAAAUACAGCAGAUCACUCAAGGGAUGCUGAAACAUUAUUUGGUAUUCAAACAAUUCUGGAAAAGUAUGAACAUCCAAUUUUGAAAAUGAACUAACGAAUACUGAUUAUAAUGAAUUUAUGCAAUUUACAUAUUGCAUUACAGCAGACAAUGAAAGUCAUGGUGAGACAUGAAUUUGCGAUUCUAUCAGUUUGGAAAAUAUAAACAUCCUAUGAUGAAAAUGGACUAGAAGAUACUGAUAAUAAUAAUUGUUUUAUUCAACAUGGCAAUACAGCAGAUGACUCAAGGAAUGCUGAGACAUUUAUUUGUAUGCAUACAACUUUGGGAAAGUAUGAACAUCCAAUGUUGAAAAUGAACUAAAUGAUACUGAUUAUAAAGAAUUUUUGCAAUGUACGUGUAAUGGUUAUUAGGUAUAGUUGAUAGAAAAUUAAUAGCAAUGUAUCUAAAAGUUACUCAAAUGCUUCCCUGACCAUAAUAUUAAUUAAAUUAUUUAAUUUAUUAUUAUUAACUUGCAUACAUUUCAUUUAAGCAGAUACUUUAUAAACACUA
Molecule: long non-coding RNA, 2926 nt
Organism: Rhopalosiphum padi (bird cherry-oat aphid)
Lineage: Eukaryota; Metazoa; Arthropoda; Insecta; Hemiptera; Aphididae
Exons: 21
Source: RefSeq, a predicted model, not a curated record